RNAcentral lists this transfer RNA (73 nucleotides) under Ailuropoda melanoleuca (giant panda). It matches the Rfam family "tRNA". From Rfam's summary of the family: Transfer RNA (tRNA) molecules are approximately 80 nucleotides in length. Their secondary structure includes four short double-helical elements and three loops (D, anti-codon, and T loops). Lineage: Eukaryota; Metazoa; Chordata; Mammalia; Carnivora; Ursidae. The record is from Rfam by way of RNAcentral.
GCCCAGCUGGCUCAGUGGGUGGAGCCUGAGACUCUUGAUCUCUGGGUUGUAAGUUCGAGCCCCACAUUGGGUG